RNAcentral lists this transfer RNA (62 nucleotides) under Lasius niger. It matches the Rfam family "tRNA", at positions 6 to 65 of the family's 71-position model. From Rfam's summary of the family: Transfer RNA (tRNA) molecules are approximately 80 nucleotides in length. Lineage: Eukaryota; Metazoa; Arthropoda; Insecta; Hymenoptera; Formicidae. The record is from Rfam by way of RNAcentral.
AAUAGUUCAGUGGUAAAAGCAGUUGUCCGGAAAGCGAAAGAACUCGGGUUCGAUUCCCGAUU